Molecule: ribosomal RNA, 474 nt
Filed under: uncultured bacterium
Lineage: Bacteria
Description: bacterial SSU rRNA
Rfam family: Bacterial small subunit ribosomal RNA
Source: RNAcentral
GAUGAACGCUAGCUACAGGCUUAACACAUGCAAGUCGAGGGGUUUGCUUCGGCAAACGACCGGCGCACGGGUGAGUAACGCGUAUCCAACCUGCCUCUCUCAUUGGGAUAGCCCUCCGAAAGGAGGAUUAAUACCGAAUAACAUAAUGUGUUUGCAUGAAUUCAUUAUGAAAGCUCCGGCGGAGAGAGAUGGGGAUGCGUUUCAUUAGGUAGUAGGCGGGGUAACGGCCCACCUAGCCGACGAUGAAUAGGGGUUCUGAGAGGAAGGUCCCCCANACUGGAACUGAGACACGGUCCAGACUCCGUACGGGAGGCAGCAGUGAGGAAUAUUGGUCAAUGGGCGCAAGCCUGAACCAGCCAAGUAGCGUGAAGGAUGACUGCCCUAUGGGUUGUAAACUUCUUUUAUAUGGGAACAAAUGUUGGUACGUGUACUAAUUUGCGUGUACCAUAUGAAUAAGCAUCGGCUAACUCCGUG